This 465-nucleotide ribosomal RNA is filed under the name uncultured bacterium. RNAcentral's name for it is "partial 16S ribosomal RNA". It matches the Rfam family "Bacterial small subunit ribosomal RNA", at positions 338 to 795 of the family's 1533-position model. The record is from RNAcentral.
CCUACGGGCGGCAGCAGUAGGGAAUCUUCCACAAUGGGCGCAAGCCUGAUGGAGCAACACCGCGUGAGUGAAGAAGGGUUUCGGCUCGUAAAGCUCUGUUGUUGGAGAAGAACGUGCGUGAGAGUAACUGUUCACGCAGUGACGGUAUCCAACCAGCAAGUCACGGCUAACUACGUGCCAGCAGCCGCGGUAAUACGUAGGUGGCAAGCGUUAUCCGGAUUUAUUGGGCGUAAAGGGAGCGCAGGCGGUUGCUUAGGUCUGAGGUGAAAGCCUUCGGCUUAACCGAAGAAGUGCAUCGGAAACCGGGCAACUUGAGUGCAGAAGAGGACAGUGGAACUCCAUGUGUAGCGGUGGAAUGCGUAGAUAUAUGGAAGAACACCAGUGGCGAAGGCGGCUGUCUGGUCUGCAACUGACGCUGAGGCUCGAAAGCAUGGGUAGCGAACAGGAUUAGAUACCCGGGUAGUC